This 126-nucleotide ribosomal RNA is filed under the name Pteropus alecto (black flying fox). The record is from RNAcentral. Lineage: Eukaryota; Metazoa; Chordata; Mammalia; Chiroptera; Pteropodidae.
GUCUACGGCUAUACCUCCCUGAACAAGCUCAAUCCCCCAUCCCCCCUGAUCUCGGAAGCUAAGCAGGGUCAGGUCUGGUUAGUACUUAGACAGGAGACCACCUAAGAAGACCAGGUGCUGUAGGUG